GAUGAACGUUGGCGGCGUGCCUAACACAUGCAAGUCGAACGAUAGUCGCAAGACUAUAGUGGCGCACGGGUGAGUAACACGUAGCUUACCAGCCUCUCAGCGCGGGAUAACGGCUCGAAAGAGGUGCUAAUACCGCAUAAGCUCACGGGAUGUAGAGACUAGUGAGAAAAGGUGCAAAUCACUGAGAGGACGGGGCUGCGGCCCAUCAGCUAGNGGUGCGGUAACGGCGCACCAAGGCGACGGACGGGUAGGGACCU
This 257-nucleotide ribosomal RNA is filed under the name uncultured bacterium. Its description in RNAcentral is "partial 16S ribosomal RNA". It matches the Rfam family "Bacterial small subunit ribosomal RNA", at positions 28 to 292 of the family's 1533-position model. The record is from RNAcentral.